UAUGUUAACAUAGGCAUGACCCAACCAU
Molecule: non-coding RNA, 28 nt
Filed under: Bombyx mori (domestic silkworm)
Lineage: Eukaryota; Metazoa; Arthropoda; Insecta; Lepidoptera; Bombycidae
Source: RNAcentral